UACGGAGGGGGCUAGCGUUGUUCGGAAUUACUGGGCGUAAAGCGCACGUAGGCGGCUUUGCAAGUCAGAGGUGAAAGCCCGGGGCUCAACCCCGGAAUUGCCUUUGAGACUGCAUCGCUAGAAUUGUGGAGAGGUAAGUGGAAUUCCGAGUGUAGAGGUGAAAUUCGUAGAUAUUCGGAAGAACACCAGUGGCGAAGGCGACAUACUGGACACAUAUUGACGCUGAGGUGCGAAAGCGUGGGGAGCAAACAGG
RNAcentral lists this ribosomal RNA (253 nucleotides) under uncultured bacterium. RNAcentral's name for it is "partial 16S ribosomal RNA". It matches the Rfam family "Bacterial small subunit ribosomal RNA", at positions 524 to 776 of the family's 1533-position model. The record is from RNAcentral.